Cyprinus carpio carpio is the source of this 1209-nucleotide long non-coding RNA. The record is from Ensembl. Lineage: Eukaryota; Metazoa; Chordata; Actinopteri; Cypriniformes; Cyprinidae.
ACAUUACCGAAGAAUGAAGUGUCCUCAGUGCAGUUAUGUGUCUUUGGAAAAGGCACCAAACUUCUGCAGUCGGUGUGGCUGUAAGCUGUCAUGUCAAUCAAUUGAGACAACAGCAGACAAGCCACAAGACAAGUUUCAAACAUCCUCAAACAUUCCACACAGUACUGAUGCAGAAAUGACUGAUAUCAGACGUGAAUCAGAAGCAUUGGACUACCAGAAUGCCAAUCUAUCUCCAAAACGACAAAAUGAAGAUAAAAUCCCUAUCCCAAAGAAAAAGAAAAGAAAGAAGAAGAAAAAAGCAGGUGGUGCAGAGGGCCCUUCAUCUCUGACCUCAGAUCUCUCUGAUAUAUCGCUGACUGAAAAAGAAAAGAAAAUGGAGGAAGACCAAUCUUCUGACAGUGAUGGCUCUUACUGCACUGUAGAUGACAUGCCUAAACCGGCUGAAUCAUCCUCUCAUCUGAGCCUACCAGAAACUGAAACUGCUGAGCUAAAACAGCAUGCUGUCUCGGCUUUACCCAUAGAUGCUGCUUUAAGUCAGUCUGAUGAGCAGCCUAAUAGUAGCAAAGAGAGAUGUGUAGCACCUGAAACGACAGAAACAUCUAAGUUGCAGUUGACCCAAGAGCUGAUCAGCAUUAGCACUGACAAAGCUUCUCCAGCAGUGACCAUGGAAGUAAAUCAGAAAGAUGAAGAAGAUAAAGAAAAAUCUGAAAAUAAAGGACAAAAGAGUGUGUCUAAAAGAAAACAAACUACUCUAGAUCGAGAUGGUGAUAUGGACCGGAAUGCAAACAUAAAGAGCAGCACAGGAAAUCAAAGAGAGACCGAUGAUCAUGUUGUGGGAGCACUGAACAACCACAGCUCCAGUGGAGAUUUACCAGUGAAGGUUGAGCAGAGUCAGAAGCUGCAGUCUGCAUGUACCGGCCAGAAGAAUACAGCAUCUGAAAAACAAAAUAAAAGUGAGGAAGCAGAAACCAGUGAAGGCAAACAGCAUGUCUCAUUUCCUACAACGAAAAAAAAUCAGAAUCAGGAACCACAGAAUUCAUCACAAGACACGGUGUUAGGCCCACAGAAUAAAUCUAAGGUAAACCAAAAUUAAAUAUAUAUUUAUUAGUGCUGUCAAAUCGCGAUUAAUCGUGUCCAAAAGUUUUUGUUUACAUAAUAUAUGUAUGUAUGCUGUUUAUAUUUAUUAUGUAUCUAUAAAUGCACACACAU